AUGCUGACCUGCGGCAACCUCAAAGAGAAUCCGGCAAAAUGCGGAGGUACAACCUGGACUUUUACUGCUGCCGGUACCAGAACGAACCAGGAACUGGUCACACUGGGACGUGUCAAGGAAAUACGGCAGCUCAGAAUUUCACUGUCAGAGGACUGUUCUCUGCUGAUCCCGGAGGUCCGAGCUGAGGACGCCGGACUUUACGCCUGUCAGCAGUUCAGAUCAGGGGUCGAACAGCAGCCGGAUGCCCCCGUGUACCUGACCGUGGUUACCUUGACAGCGCAGGUCAAGGCGGACUAUGUCGAACUUACCUGCUGCGUGUUCACCUAUAAGACCUGCUCACACAAGGUGACGUGGUUCUUCAACGAAGUCCAAAUGAAAAAGGGGACUGGCCUGGUCCUCACGUCCCAGAAUUCCUGCAGCGCCACUGCGAACGUGAUGACCUGUCACGAGUAUUGGAAGAGGAAUACCCUCCUGACGUGUCAAGUCCAAUAUGAUCAAGUGGUUAAGACCUUUCCACUCAGGGCUCCAGGUGUUGCAUCAGCAGAAACAACAACAACUGUGUCGACCAGAACAGCCGACGACUCGGCGCCCCUCCGAGGUAAAUGUAGUUUCAUUCAUAUCAUAAAAUCAGAUGCUUCCCCUCACUGUUGCCUUAAAUCAAUUAAAUCAUCACAAUACCUUUAUUGUCACAACUUAUUAAUAAUAGUUUUCUGUGCUAACAGCAAAAAUCUGGUAUUCUCAUGUUUUUUUUUGCAGAUUUCUGGUGGUUUUUUAUCAUCAUUGCUGCCAUUUUUGUGGUGUUUUUAGUGGUUGUUGUGAUAGUUGUCAAAAAGAAACAAACUAAAGGUGAGACCAAGGAGCUUUUUACCAGGACGGGGGCAGUGUGUGUGUGUGUGUGUGUGUGUGUGUGUGUGUGUUUGUGUGUAGGGAGGGGGGGUUUCUGGUGGAAGAUAAAAGCAACUCUAUUUUCUCUUUCUAGCUGUUGAAAAGAACUGCAAUGAUGUAAGUUUCCCUUUCUAAAGUAUUCCGCUAUUUUAAGUGAUUAAAGCACAAAUGGAAGGCACACCUAAUCAUCAUUGUGUUAAGCUUUUGCGUAUUUGUAUUUAUGUGUUCGUUUUGUAUCAGCUGUUAAUUAACUGUCGUGACUUUUGACCAAAUAUGAACACACUCUUCUCACAGGGACGGAACACACACUCAGCAGUGACUCAUUCUUCCCCAGAAAUCAGCCAGGACAAGGUGAUGUCAAAGGUUCACGCCAGAAUUACACUCUCUAACUGUGUCACAAUGCUGGGGGAGGCAGAGGACAUUGACACUGCAGUUGGGAGCUGUGGACACAAGGUCUCUGGUGCCGGUUGUGGACGCCAGAAGUAAUGGAUGCUGUUGGGAUGAAAAGGAGUCCCAUCGGUCCAUUUUGGCCCAUGAAACUCCCAAAGAAGUUAAUGGUAACCAGCGGUGAGGUCUCUAAGGUUAGCUAGCUCAGUGACCUCAGAGAUCCACCCUGAGUACGUCAAGGCUCUGGACAUUGUGGGGCUGUCUUGGUUGACAUGUCUCUACAGCAUUGUGUGGGAACAUCUACUUUAUACCAGAGUACUGGAGAGGAGAAUCCAGCCCAUAGUUGAACCCUGGAUACAGGAGGAACACUGGACCAGCUCUAUGCCCUCCGUGGGGCACUUGAGAGUUGAUGUGACUUUGCUCAACCAGGCAAAAUGUGUUCUGUUGAUCUGGAGUGGGCAUUUGAAUGUGUCCCCUGUGGUGGAGCUUGGGUUGCACUGCCAACAGUAACUCAGACCCGUUUCUGGUGCAUGCUGGGCUCCGGCAGGGUUGCUCGUUGUCACCGGGUCAUCCCUGCUGUUUGCAGAUGAUGUUUCCUGUUGGAUUCAUCAAGCCGGGACCUUCAGGAUGUACUGGGGCAGUUUACAGCCAAGUGUGUAGCGGCUGAGAUGAGAAUCGCCACCUCCAAGUCCGGAGCCAUGGUUCUCGACCGGACAAGGGUGGCUUUCUGGUGGAGACGUCCUGCCUCAAGGGGUUUCUCGGGUUCAGGAGUGAGGGAAAGAUGGAGCGUGAGAUUGACAUGGUGUGAUGGGUGCAGCCCCUGCAGUUAUGUGGACGGUGUGUCGGACUGUUGUGGUGAAGAAAGAGCUGAGUUGAAAGGCAAAGCUAUGAGCCCACUCUCACCUGGAGUCAGAAACGUUGGACAGCGACCAAAAGGAAGAGACUGCAGAUGUAGAUGUAGAUGAUGCAGGUGUCUGAAAUGAGGUUCCUCUGUGAGGUGGCUGGGCGCUCCCUUGGGGGGAGAAGCUCAGUCACCUGAGACUAGCUCAGAGUAGAGCUUCUGCUCCUUUGCAUUGAGAAGAGGCAGCUCGGGCACCUGUUCCAGACGCCUCCGUCGGUGCUCCAAGCAUCUCCCAACAGGAGGAGACCCCAAGACCCAGGACAAGCUCUUGGCUGGCCACAUGUUUGAAUUUCUGUUGAUGAAAGCUUCAGUCAGACAGGAAAAGGUUUUAAAACUAAAUCUGUUUGCAGAGGGAUGCUGAAGAUCCUGUUUCUUACGCCACCAUCAUAUUCAGGUCCCCACCGAGAGCUCAGGUAAGGGUUUUCUAUUAAUUUAUAUAUUCCAGAUAUGCGUGUAUUCCAGAUCAAUGAUGCCUUCAGGACAGGAACUGAAACAACAUGGAGGUAUAUCAUGACAAAUUUAGAGGAAGUAAAGUUUUGCAACAGCUCCUGUAGUGACAUAAUGUUUCCUGACUCACAAAUACCGGU
This is a long non-coding RNA of Takifugu rubripes (torafugu), 2760 nucleotides long. NCBI's taxonomy places the organism in Eukaryota, Metazoa, Chordata, Actinopteri, Tetraodontiformes, Tetraodontidae. The record is from Ensembl.